RNAcentral lists this ribosomal RNA (434 nucleotides) under uncultured bacterium. RNAcentral's name for it is "partial 16S ribosomal RNA". It matches the Rfam family "Bacterial small subunit ribosomal RNA", at positions 30 to 507 of the family's 1533-position model. The record is from RNAcentral.
AGCGAACGCUGGCGGCAGGCCUAACACAUGCAAGUCGAACGAAACGGUCGGGGUUAGUGGCGGACGGGGGGGCAACACGGGGGGACGUGCCUGUAGGUUCGGAACAAUACAGGGAAAUAUGCGCUAAUAACGGAGGUGACUACUGGGGGGAAGAUUGAUCGCCUUUGGAGCGGCCCGCGUCUGGUUAGGUUGUUGGUUGAGGUAAUGGCCCACCAAGGCGACGAUCGGCAGCUGGUCUGAGAGGAUGCACAGCCACAUUGGGACUGAGAAGCGGCCUACACUCGGAAGCAGUGGAGCAGAGUGGAAUCUUGGGGAAUGCGCGAAGGCGUGACGCCGCCAGGCCGCGUACAUCAUGCGGGUCUUAGGAUUCUAAAAGUCUUGAACAGGGGACGGUAGUGACGGUACCCGUAGAAGAAGCACCGGCUAACUACGUG